Molecule: ribosomal RNA, 482 nt
Filed under: uncultured bacterium
Lineage: Bacteria
Description: partial 16S ribosomal RNA
Rfam family: Bacterial small subunit ribosomal RNA
Source: RNAcentral
AAUGAACGUUGGCGGCGUGGAUUAGGCAUGCAAGUCGAGCGAGAACCGUAGCAAUACGGGGACAGCGGCGAAAGGGAGAGGAAUACGCGGGUACCUACCCUCGGAUCUGGGAUAGCCACGGGAAACUGUGGGUAAUACCAGAUAACGUCUUCGGACCAAAGGUGUGAUUCCGUCCGAGGAGGGGCCCACGUCCUAUUAGCUAGUUGGUGGGGUAAUGGCCUACCAAGGCAAUGAUGGGUACGGGGCGUGGGAGCGUGCCCCCGCUCACUGGGACUGAGACACUGCCCAGACACCUACGGGUGGCUGCAGUCGAGGAUCUUCGGCAAUGGGCGCAAGCCUGACCGAGCGACGCCGCGUGCGGGAUGAAGGCCUUCGGGUUGUAAACCGCCGUCGGAAGGGAGGAAAUGCCUAGGGGUUCUCCCCUAGGUUUGACCUAUCUUCAGAGGAAGUACGGGCUAAGUUCGUGCCAGCCGCCGCAGUAA